Molecule: long non-coding RNA, 1345 nt
Filed under: Ananas comosus (pineapple)
Lineage: Eukaryota; Viridiplantae; Streptophyta; Magnoliopsida; Poales; Bromeliaceae
Description: long non-coding RNA (ACOM_LNC021224)
Source: RNAcentral
AAAUUUUGAUGUAAAUUUUUAAUAUUUAAAUUUUAAUUUGAAUUUAAAUUAAUAUACUAUAAAGAUAAAGUUAGCAUAUUAAUCUGAUUACAUUUUUUAUAUUUACCUAAACCAAACACCGAUAAUAGAAAUGAUUUAUUCCGAUUCCAAUUCAGGUGAUAUGAACCAAACAGAAUUAGGUAAUGAGUCAUUCCGAUUCCGAUUUCAGCUUAUUUCAAUUCCGAUUUCGAUUCUGAUUCCGACUUCGAACCAAAACACCCUAAAAGGCUUUUUGCCAAAUUUAUAAAUUUAGAAAUGACUCUAUAUUGUAUACGUAGACUCGAAAUAUUUUUAAUGAACACGAUAAUUCAUUCAUUUUAUUUAGUUAAACAACAAAAUAUAUUUUUAAAAAUAAAAUAUUAGUCAUUUUCUCUCUAUAUACUAUUCUAAACACGGCGAAUCAAUCACGUACAGUAUUUACAUUAUGUUUUUUUUUCUUAUCCAUGCAGGGCCUACGUGUACAAAUAAAGAAUCAUUUCUGUAUUUGUAAUUUUGAUAGGAUUAUUUGUAAAAUAAAUUUUUUAAACGACUAGAAAUUCUAGAUCAAUGCUUUUAUGACAAUUAUGCUAAUAUCCCAUAGGCGCGCUUGGUUCGCGUUAAUAUUACAUAUUAUUUCGACAUAAUAAGGUAUCUUCUUGCCAAUAAAGUAUAUUCCAUUACAAAAUUGUCCUUUAGUUAUAUUUGGCAAAAAUUUUUUAUUGUUUACAAAUAAUAUUUUUUUAUUACAUUUUAUUUUAAAAUAAUUUUAAAUUUGAAUUUAAAUUUUAACUUUUAAAUUUUAUAUUUUAAAUCUGAAUAAAAAAUAUAAAUUUAAUAUUUUAAUUUGAAAUAUAAAUAUGAAAUUUAAAAUUUAAAAUUUAAAAUUUAGAAUUUAAAAUCUAAAUUUAAAUUUACAAUUUAAAAUUUAAAAUUUAGAAUUUAGAAUUUAGAAUUUAAAAUAUAAAUUUUAAAAUUUACAAUUUAAAAUUUAAAAUUUAAAAUUUUAGAAUGACAAUUCAAAAUUUUAAAUUAAAUUUUUAAAAAUGACUUGAGGGUUGGAAGGGUAAAUCUAUAAUUUUAUAUAACAUACAAAAUAACAAGCCAACAAUAAUAUGAGAUACCCACUCCCAACUCGGUAAUAUUUUCGGAGUAAUUGUGCAUCACUUGUAAUAUUAUAUUACUAACCAAAUUACAAACUGGAUGAACCAUAUGCAAUAAUCCUAGCAUGAUUCACUAUAAUCCUGGUAGGAUAACCCGAGCCAAACAUGACUAUAUAGCGAUAUAUUUGCAAAACUCUCUAUCACAUCAUGUAUACGUAUGAAAAUCC